CCAUCGCACCCUUUUAGAUCCCUAACCUCCUCCACCUCCCUUAUCUACCCCGUCGAGGUCCAACCGUGGUCGCUGGCCAACGUACCUCCUCAUCCACCGUGACUCUCACUCCUCCGCCUCAUCUUCGCCGGGAGCUACCUAAUCUUUGCCACGGACCAACGUACCCCUUCCACCUCCCUCAUCAUCGCCGGGGCUCUCGUUCCCCCCUCCUCCUUCACCGUCUCCAUCGAUUUCACCACAUCCUCCUUCACCACCUCCACCAUCUCUUCCUUAGGUCGCCCCCUUCUUCUCUAUAAAUUAGUAUUAUCUACUCUCUACAAAACCCUAAACCUAAUUUAUUUGACCAUCUAACACAAAUUUCCCUAUUUAUAGCAAAUUAAUUGACUUCCCAAUGUUACCUUCUCUUCCUCAGACAUCCUCUUUCUCCAGCAGACUUAUUUAAGGGCUUGACGAAGAUGUCUAGAGUUCCAUCACGGAACAUAGCACGUAACUUAUACAGUGCGAAGACCUGCAUCCUCAGGCGAGAGAGUGUAGGAGAGAACUCGAAUCUGCUCAUGUUGCUACAUCCGUACCUAGCAUUAGGGAGUUUACUCCAGUCGUAGGGCUUGACGAAGAUGUCUAGAGUUCCAUCACGGAACAUAGCACGUAACUUAUACAGUGCGAAGACCUGCAUCCUCAGGCGAGAGAGUGUAGGAGAGAACUCGAAUCUGCUCAUGUUGCUACAUCUGUACCUAGCGUUAGGGAGUUUACUCCAGUCGUAGUGAAAUCACGGUUCUUUGUUCGCACUCGAGGCUCCAAUACUGCCCAUAAGCUGAAGCCCGAUGCUAAAAAGGGAGAGAAGGCAUGACUUCUGUACCUCAAUAAUAGGGGCCGCCCCCAUUGGUAAUUAUGCUGAGAAAUGGGUAAAGUAUGUGCGGGUGGAGAGCCGUGGGUAUCGCAAAUAUCCUCUCCAUUUAGAAUGGCACGACAAACAUAUUAGGUCAUUUGAUGAUUUCUUUAUAAGAUGUCAGAAGGAUUAUGGGUUUCUCCCCCUAGAUCCUAAUCAGCCUCUCUCCUAUCAUAUUCAUUAUCGAGGAAUGAAGUCUCAGUUGUAGGAGAGGCUCCGGUAUAAUAGGUGUCAGGUUAAACAUGAGUGUUAUGAGGUGUGGAAAAAUACUUCCGAAGCAGAGAGGGAGGCUCUCUUUGCUACGCCAGCAUUUUCUUAGAUUGAUAGAGACUCGUAGGCUAAAAUGUACUCUUUUUAUGAUUCAGAGGAUAAGGAGGAGGUAAGACGUAAUGCGCAGAAUCGGACGUCAAAUUUGCAUGGUAUAGCAACAUAUAUAGGUGGCUCGAGGAACACGU
Long non-coding RNA from Asparagus officinalis (garden asparagus), 1341 nucleotides. RefSeq lists it as uncharacterized. NCBI's taxonomy places the organism in Eukaryota, Viridiplantae, Streptophyta, Magnoliopsida, Asparagales, Asparagaceae. The transcript has 6 exons. The record is from RefSeq and is a predicted model, not a curated record.